CAGCUUUCAUUCAGUAAUACAGCAUUCAAUCCUGGAUUUUCUUCUGGAAAUGCAGCUCCUUCUAGGUAGUAUUUACUAUUGUGUGCCUUUCCCUUAAUACAGAGUAAAAAAAAACAAUAAUAAAAUUACUAAACCCAGUUUCUUUUCAUGCGAGGUACUAGUUUAGCUCCUUCCCAAACUGGGCUUUGAAUCCCAGGCAAGCCCAGAAUUUUUCAUGACUGCCAGACAAAGAAAGGAGCAAAUGCAAAAACAAAAGCAUCAAACUCACUUUUACCUGAACCCUUUUGAAGUUAUAAAAAUGUAAUGAAUUAUUUAAUAGUAGACAUUUUUAUAAUUUGAUAUCUUGCAAAGUUGUCAGUUUAAAAAUUGUUAUUCUUUUUUUUUAAAGCUCCAUGAGUUAAAUGACAAAUGCUGAAUUUAAAAUAUCUAUUCAUCAUACUGUAGUUUAAGGGAUGCAGAGGCUAAGGUCUGUGAUGCUUACAGUGUAAGUCAGUGUUAAUAUAAUUAUUUUCACAUGACCUCUCACUGGAGGGAGCUGCAAUCCCAUUUAACUUUAAACGUGUCUGUUCAGAGACAGUAGGCAGCACAAGGAUGGAUUUGUUUACAGCUUUGAAUUUGCAUCCUGCCAGCGUUCAUCAUAAAAGGUAGUGAUUUAAGAGCUCAGUGCUGGGUGUAUCGCACACAUCUCGCUGCUGUCUGUCUGGAUUAUUUCCCAACUCGAGCUUUGAUGGUGGCAGCUCCCAAUUCACAGGAAAAAGGAAAUGAAGUUAGGCAGGCUGAAAGUUUAUUGUGUUUGUGCAGAGGCAAAGAGGGAAAUUCAAGGACUCAGCAAAAGAAUUAAAGACAACAAAAACAAAGACGACCGUUUUUAUGUUUUGGUAUUGAAGUAAAAGCUUCUGCAAUAAAGUUUUUCUUUGUGUGGGCGAGAAGCGACAGUGCAGCAGGUGGAAAGAUCAGAUUCAAAGCAACAACAUGCUGUGUAUACACUGCCAUUAACUAGGUAAUGAAACUAUAAUCUCCUUUGGGGUUUGGAUCUAAGCUUCAGCCAUUUGUAAAAUUAAAUGGUUCAUGACUUUCAUCAUGUUGAUGUCUAAUCAGUUCAGGUGCUAGUAAGUGACAUAAUCAAUGUAAAACAAACAUGUUAUGUCAAAAUACAUGAAUAAUAUACACAGAGGCAGUUGUGUUUGCUGAUGUGGAAUACCCAGAAUUCCUGCUCAAUGGUUUGUAAUUGUGUUAUCGUUUGCUUUAAUUAUGGACUGUAUGGAGGAAAUGUUUGCUGGCAGAGUUCUCUCUCGACCCAUUACUUCAGUACUUAGUUUCAUUAAUGGAAUAACAGAGUCUAAUGCACCUAAAUGCCUAAGUGAAAUGUUCAUUCUCUGCUCAUGAAAAAACAGCUGUAUUAUCUUAAAAAGAAAAUGUAUUUGUAUUUUCCUUCACUGUAUUUUAAGUUCCACUCUGAUCAUCUUUUGAUCUUUUGUAAAAGUGUUCUCAGUGGGCUUUUGAUUAUGAAUAUGCCCUUUUUAGGCAAAAUCCCAUAUCCUGUGUUGUUUUUUAGGACAAUAAUUUCUGCAGGGCUGCAGGAAUUCAUUGGAAUUUUGCCUCUGAGUUGGAGGCGGUACGUUGGCAUGGAGUGAGCCUUUCUUCAUUUUUCCAUUGUCCAUCUGUAUGGACGCUCUCCUGCUAGCUUACUGCCCCUCACACUGCCAACCAAAUAUUACCAGUGCGACAAAAUUGGUGAUUAGUUCAGGAGCAAUCCAGUUUUGAGCCAGAUGCCAGGUCUGAUGAGAAAAAUGAAGGCGUACAUGGAUCUAGUCAUCUAUAGGUGGAUGCAUCAGAAUGGAACAAAGCACGGAGAUUGCCCCGCCUAUUGCAUUUUCUAUGCAACAAAUACGAUCUUUUUAAACGAAAUUCUAAUUUGCCACAAUUUAAAUAAAGAAAUAUUCAGAAUUGCCGUUUUAAUCUUACGUUUUUUUUAUAUGUUUUCCAUUAUAAGAAAAACGCUACAAGAACAAGUUCAAAACACGAAAAACACAGUGAGUCAUUUGUCUAAGAGUUUUUCUUUGACAAGCUGGACUGCUACCUUAAAACGGCCUAAAACAUACUGUACUUGUGUUUCUCCUGGUAAGUUUUGGUCAAGAGUUAUCCUGGGUUUUUGUUUCUCCCAUAGUCACACUGAUCCUUGCAUUUAUCAUCAAGAGGAUCCUCUUUUCUUGCAACUCUUUUUCCCUUUGUAACCCACUUAGAAAAAGCAUUUAAUUUUCCUACUGGCAAUUAAAGGGUUAAUUUUUCAUUUGCGGUAGAGAUGGUUUGGCCCUCCAGGCAUACCAUGCAGGGCUCUGUGGAGGGUGCCAUCUUGUGUCUGCGUGUUUUUUUUUCUUGCAAGCACGAGGCAGAGAAGGAGCUGCGUGACCAGCAGAGAAAGAUCGGCAGUGUUAUAGACGGAAGCAGAAAAAUAAUUUAAAGAGUUAAAAUAAGCUACUUUUUGUUUUUUGAGAUCGGUUACGUUGUGUGCCGAAAGAACAUUUUCAGAGCGGCUACGUUGUGAACGCGUGUCGUGUAUAAGAAUUCUUGGAAACUCCGAAUUGUUUUUGAUGACCCUCAAUUGUAGCUCGGACUACAAUUCUUCGUUGGAAGUGGAUGGCGAGCCAGGCGUAGAACGAGAGUAUCCUGUUGAAGAUUGACGUACAGUGUGGCCAGCUGUUACUGAUUCCCAUCAACAGGAUUGAACCCAAUCUGACAGGACAAGAGAUAAGGAACAUUCCCAUACACAUUAAUUUAUCCUACCCGGGUAGAGAACAAAUUGAGUGCACAAACGAGACAAAGGACAAUUUAUUUUAUACUAUUUUUUUAUAAAGCUGAUUUAUUUUGUAAAAGAAUUCAGUUUUAGGAACAAAUUAUUGUUUAUGUUGUUUUUCUAUUUUGUGUUGUGAAAGGUAAUGUAAUAAACCUGCCCUCUGUUAUUUAAA
Molecule: long non-coding RNA, 2966 nt
Organism: Oryzias latipes (Japanese medaka)
Lineage: Eukaryota; Metazoa; Chordata; Actinopteri; Beloniformes; Adrianichthyidae
Source: RefSeq, a predicted model, not a curated record